RNAcentral lists this ribosomal RNA (218 nucleotides) under Neolentinus lepideus. Its description in RNAcentral is "partial large subunit ribosomal RNA". It matches the Rfam family "Eukaryotic large subunit ribosomal RNA", at positions 360 to 583 of the family's 3401-position model. Lineage: Eukaryota; Fungi; Basidiomycota; Agaricomycetes; Gloeophyllales; Gloeophyllaceae. The record is from RNAcentral.
AAAGAUGAAAAGCACUUUGGAAAGAGAGUUAAACAUGACGUGAAAUUGUUGAAAGGGAAAUGCUUGAAGUCAGUCGCGUUAGCCGGGACUCAGCCUUGCCUUUCGCUUGGUGUAUUUUCCGGUUGACGGGCCAGCAUCGACUUUGACCGCUGGAUAAGGGUCAGGGGAAUGUGGCACCUCCGGGUGUGUUAUAGCCUCUGGUCGUAUACAGUGGUCGG